AUUGAACGCUGGCGGCAUGCUUUACACAUGCAAGUCGAACGGCAGCGCGGGCUUCGGCCUGGCGGCGAGUGGCGAACGGGUGAGUAAUACAUCGGAACGUGCCCAGUAGUGGGGGAUAGCUCGGCGAAAGCCGGAUUAAUACCGCAUACGACCUGAGGGUGAAAGCGGGGGAUCUUCGGACCUCGCGCUAUUGGAGCGGCCGAUGGCAGAUUAGCUAGUUAGUGGGGUAAAGGCCUACCAAGGCGACGAUCUGUAGCUGGUCUGAGAGGACGACCAGCCACACUGGGACUGAGACACGGCCCAGACUCCUACGGGAGGCAGCAGUGGGGAAUGUUGGACAAUGGGCGAAAGCCUGAUCCAGCAAUGCCGCGUGUGUGAUGAAGGCCUUCGGGUUGUAAAGCACUUUUGGCGGGAACGAAAAGGACUGUGCCAAUACCACGGUUCGAUGACGGUACCCGCAGAAUAAGCACCGGCUAACUACGUG
Molecule: ribosomal RNA, 484 nt
Filed under: uncultured bacterium
Lineage: Bacteria
Description: partial 16S ribosomal RNA
Rfam family: Bacterial small subunit ribosomal RNA
Source: RNAcentral